UAGGGAAUCUUCCACAAUGGACGAAAGUCUGAUGGAGCAACGCCGCGUGAGUGAAGAAGGGUUUCGGCUCGUAAAGCUCUGUUGGUAGUGAAGAAAGAUAGAGGCAGUAACUGGCCUUUAUUGACGGUAAUUACUUAGAAAGUCACGGCUAACUACGUGCC
This 161-nucleotide ribosomal RNA is filed under the name uncultured bacterium. RNAcentral's name for it is "partial 16S ribosomal RNA". It matches the Rfam family "Bacterial small subunit ribosomal RNA", at positions 355 to 509 of the family's 1533-position model. The record is from RNAcentral.